Molecule: ribosomal RNA, 446 nt
Filed under: uncultured bacterium
Lineage: Bacteria
Description: SSU rRNA
Rfam family: Bacterial small subunit ribosomal RNA
Source: RNAcentral
GGAACGAACGCUGGCGGCAGGCCUAACACAUGCAAGUCGAACGCUCGUAGCAAUACGAGAGUGGCAGACGGGUGAGUAACGCGUGGGAACCUUCCCUAUGGUUCGGAAUAGCUCAGGGAAACUUGGGGUAAUACCGGAUAAGCCCUUCGGGGGAAAGAUUUAUCGCCAUUGGAUGGGCCCGCGUCGGAUUAGCUAGUUGGUGAGGUAACGGCUCACCAAGGCAACGACCCGUAGCUGGUCUGAGAGGAUGAUCAGCCACACUGGGACUGAGACACGGCCCAGACUCCUACGGGAGGCAGCAGUGGGGAAUAUUGGACAAUGGGCGCAAGCCUGAUCCAGCCAUGCCGCGUGAGUGACGAAGGUCUUCGGAUUGUAAAACUCUUUUGGCGGGACGAUAAAUGACGGUACCGCAGAAUAAGCCCGGCUAACUUCGUGCCAGCAGCCGC